This 274-nucleotide ribosomal RNA is filed under the name uncultured bacterium. RNAcentral's name for it is "partial 16S ribosomal RNA". It matches the Rfam family "Bacterial small subunit ribosomal RNA", at positions 523 to 796 of the family's 1533-position model. The record is from RNAcentral.
AUACGGAGGGUGCAAGCGUUAUCCGGAAUCAUUGGGUUUAAAGGGUCCGUAGGCGGGCGAUUAAGUCAGAGGUGAAAUCCCACAGCUCAACUGUGGAACUGCCUUUGAUACUGGUUGUCUUGAGUUACAGUGAAGUAGAUAGAAUGUGUAGUGUAGCGGUGAAAUGCAUAGAUAUUACACAGAAUACCGAUUGCGAAGGCAGUCUACUAACUGUAUACUGACGCUAAUGGACGAAAGCGUGGGGAGCGAACAGGAUUAGAAACCCCAGUAGUCC